CCGCCAUCCAUCACCACCCUCCAUCUCCACCCUUCAACUCCACUAUCCAUGUCCACCAUCCAUCACCACCCUCUAUCUCCACUGUCCAUGUCCACCAUCCAUCACCACCCUCUAUCUCCACUGUCCAUCACCACCCUCUAUCUCCAGCGUCCAUGUCCACUGUCCAUCACCACCUUCUAUCUCCACUGUCCAUCACCACCUUCUAUCUCCACUGUCCAUCACCACUCUCUAUCUCCACUGUCCAUGUCCACUGUACAUCACUACCCUCCAUCUCCACUGUCCACGUCCACCGUCCAUCACUACCCUCCACCUCCACUGCCCAUGUCCACCAUCCAUCACUACCCUCUGUCUCCACUGUCCAUGUCCACCGUCCGUCACUACCCUCUGUCUCCACUGUCCAUGUCCACCAUCCAUCACUACCCUCCGUCUCCACUGUCCAUGUCCACCGUCCAUCACUACCCUCUAUCUCCACCGUCCAUCACCACCCUCUGUCUCCACUGUCCAUGUCCACCUGUCCAUCACUACCCUCUGUCUCCACUAUCCAUGUCCACUGUCCAUCACCACCCUCUAUCUCCACUGUCCAUCACCACCCUCUAUCUCCACUGUCCAUGUCCACUGUCCAUCACCACCCUCUAUCUCCACUGUCCAUCACCACCCUCUAUCUCCACUGUCCAUCACCGCCCUCUAUCUCCACCAUCCAUCACUACUCUCUAUCUUCACUGUCCAUGUCCACCAGCCAUCACCACCCUCUAUCUCCACUGUCCACGUCCGCUGUCCACAUCCAAUAUCCAUUUAUACCAUCCAUCACCACCAUCCAUGUCCAUUGCCCAUCUCCAAUGUCCAUCAUCACCACCCAUCACCACCAUCCAUCUCCAGAACUUUUACCUCUUCCCAAAUUUCAAGUCUGUAUUCAUUAAACAGUCACUCCCCAUGCUCCUCCUGUCAGCUACUAUCUCUAUGAAAGUGACUACUCUAGGGACCUCACAUAAGUGGGAUUGUAUGGUACGUGUUCUUCUGUGACU
Molecule: long non-coding RNA, 1022 nt
Filed under: Homo sapiens (human)
Lineage: Eukaryota; Metazoa; Chordata; Mammalia; Primates; Hominidae
Description: non-protein coding lnc-CEP170B-3:1
Source: RNAcentral